GGGGAAUAUUGCACAAUGGGCGAAAGCCUGAUGCAGCGACGCCGCGUGAGGGAUGGAGGCCUUCGGGUUGUAAACCUCUUUCGCUCAUGGUCAAGCCGCAGCUUGGGUUGUGGUGAGGGUAGUGGGUAAAGAAGCGCCGGCUAACUACGUGCCAGCAGCCGCGGUAAUACGUAGGGCGCGAGCGUUGUCCGGAAUUAUUGGGCGUAAAGGGCUUGUAGGCGGUUGGUCGCGUCUGCCGUGAAAUCCUCUGGCUUAACUGGGGGCGUGCGGUGGGUACGGGCUGACUUGAGUGCGGUAGGGGAGACUGGAACUCCUGGUGUAGCGGUGGAAUGCGCAGAUAUCAGGAAGAACACCGGUGGCGAAGGCGGGUCUCUGGGCCGUUACUGACGCUGAGGAGCGAAAGCGUGGGGAGCGAACAGGAUUAGAUACCCUGGUAGUCCACGCUGUAAACGUUGGGCACUAGGUGUGGGGGCCACCCGUGGUUUCUGCGCCGUAGCUAACGCUUUAAGUGCCCCGCCUGGGGAGUACGGCCGCAAGGCUA
This 541-nucleotide ribosomal RNA is filed under the name uncultured bacterium. Its description in RNAcentral is "bacterial SSU rRNA". It matches the Rfam family "Bacterial small subunit ribosomal RNA", at positions 356 to 896 of the family's 1533-position model. The record is from RNAcentral.